UGGGGAAUAUUGCACAAUGGGCGAAAGCCUGAUGCAGCAACGCCGCGUGAGGGACGACGGCCUUCGGGUUGUAAACCUCUUUUAGCAAGGAUGAAGCGAAAGUGACGGUACUUGCAGAAAAAGCGCCGGCUAACUACGUGCCAGCAGCCGCGGUAAUACGUAGGGCGCAAGCGUUAUCCGGAAUUAUUGGGCGUAAAGAGCUCGUAGGCGGUUUGUCGCGUCUGCUGUGAAAACCCGAGGCUCAACCUCGGGCCUGCAGUGGGUACGGGCAGACUAGAAUGCGGUAGGGGAGAUUGGAACUCCUGGUGUAGCGGUGGAAUGCGCAGAUAUCAGGAAGAACACCGAUGGCGAAGGCAGAUCUCUGGGCCGUAACUGACGCUGAGGAGCGAAAAGGGUGGGGAGCAAAACAGGCUUAGAUACCCUGGUAGUCCACCCCGUAAACGUUGGGAACUAGUUGUGGGGUCCAUUCCACGGAUUCCGUGACGCAGCUAACGCAUUAAGUU
RNAcentral lists this ribosomal RNA (503 nucleotides) under uncultured bacterium. RNAcentral's name for it is "partial 16S ribosomal RNA". It matches the Rfam family "Bacterial small subunit ribosomal RNA", at positions 355 to 866 of the family's 1533-position model. The record is from RNAcentral.